AAAAAAGGUAAGCUACUAAGAGCGAAUGGUGGAUGCCUUGACUGGUAAAGGCGAUGAAGGACGUACUAGACUGCGAUAAGCUACGGGGAGCUGUCAAGAAGCUUUGAUCCGUAGAUUUCCGAAUGGGGCAACCCAAUGUAUAGAGAUAUACAUUACCUAUAUAGGAGCGAACGAGGGGAAUUGAAACAUCUUAGUACCCUCAGGAAAAGAAAUCAAUAGAGAUUGCGUCAGUAGCGGCGAGCGAAAGCGCAAGAGGGCAAACCCAGUGCUUGCACUGGGGGUUGUAGGACUGCAAUGUGCAAGAGGUGAGUUUAGCAGAACAUUCUGGAAAGUAUAGCCAUAGAGGGUGAUAGUCCCGUAUGCGAAAAACAAACCUUAGCUAGCAGUAUCCUGAGUAGGGCGGGACACGAGAAAUCCUGUCUGAAGCUGGGUCGACCACGAUCCAACCCUAAAUACUAAUACCAGAUCGAUAGUGCACAAGUACCGUGAGGGAAAGGUGAAAAGAACUGAGGUGAUCAGAGUGAAAUAGAACCUGAAACCAUUUGCUUACAAUCAUUCAGAGCCCUAUGUAGCAAUACAGGGUGAUGGACUGCCUUUUGCAUAAUGAGCCUGCGAGUUGUGGUGUCUGGCAAGGUUAAGCAAACGCGAAGCCGUAGCGAAAGCGAGUCUGAAUAGGGCGCUUAGUCAGAUGCUGCAGACCCGAAACGAAGUGAUCUAUCCAUGAGCAAGUUGAAGCUAGUGUAAGAACUAGUGGAGGACUGAACCCAUAGGCGUUGAAAAGCCCCGGGAUGACUUGUGGAUAGGGGUGAAAGGCCAAUCAAACUUCGUGAUAGCUGGUUCUCUCCGAAAUAUAUUUAGGUAUAGCGUUGUGUCGUAAUAUAAGGGGGUAGAGCACUGAAUGGGCUAGGGCAUACACCAAUGUACCAAACCCUAUCAAACUCCGAAUACCUUAUAUGUAAUCACAGCAGUCAGGCGGCGAGUGAUAAAAUCCGUCGUCAAGAGGGAAACAACCCAGACUACCAGCUAAGGUCCCUAAAUCUUACUUAAGUGGAAAACGAUGUGAAGUUACUUAAACAACCAGGAGGUUGGCUUAGAAGCAGCCAUCCUUUAAAGAAAGCGUAAUAGCUCACUGGUCUAGUGAUUUUGCGCGGAAAAUAUAACGGGGCUAAAGUAAGUACCGAAGCUGUAGACUUGCGCACAACUUAGAUUAUUUAAGUUUAGAAUAUGAGAAACUAAGUUAUAUGUUUAGUUAUAUUUUUACUGAUUUUUAUAGAGUAAAGAUAGAAAUAAAACUUAGUAAAAUCAGUAAAAAUAUUCUUAGACUAAAGUUAAGUAGUUUAAGUUGUGUGCAAGUGGUAGGAGAGCGUUCUAUUUGCGUCGAAGGUAUACCGGUAAGGAGUGCUGGAGCGAAUAGAAGUGAGCAUGCAGGCAUGAGUAGCGAUAAUUAAUGUGAGAAUCAUUAACGCCGUAAACCCAAGGUUUCCUACGCGAUGCUCGUCAUCGUAGGGUUAGUCGGGUCCUAAGUCGAGUCCGAAAGGGGUAGACGAUGGCAAAUUGGUUAAUAUUCCAAUACCAACAUUAGUGUGCGAUGGAAGGACGCUUAGGGCUAAGGGGGCUAGCGGAUGGAAGUGCUAGUCUAAGGUCGUAGGAGGUUAUACAGGCAAAUCCGUAUAACAAUACUCCGAGAACUGAAAGGCUUUUUGAAGUCUUCGGAUGGAUAGAAGAACCCCUGA
Molecule: ribosomal RNA, 1733 nt
Filed under: Campylobacter coli
Lineage: Bacteria; Pseudomonadati; Campylobacterota; Epsilonproteobacteria; Campylobacterales; Campylobacteraceae
Description: partial 23S ribosomal RNA
Rfam family: Bacterial large subunit ribosomal RNA
Source: RNAcentral